UUUAUGGAGAGUUUGAUCCUGGCUCAGGAUGAACGCUGGCGGCGUGCCUAAUACAUGCAAGUCGAGCGAACAGACGAGGAGCUUGCUCCUUUGACGUUAGCGGCGGACGGGUGAGUAACACGUAGGUAACCUACCUAUAAGACUGGGAUAACUUCGGGAAACCGGAGCUAAUACCGGAUAAUAUUUCGAACCGCAUGGUUCGAUAGUGAAAGAUGGCUUUGCUAUCACUUAUAGAUGGACCUGCGCCGUAUUAGCUAGUUGGUAAGGUAACGGCUUACCAAGGCAACGAUACGUAGCCGACCUGAGAGGGUGAUCGGCCACACUGGAACUGAGACACGGUCCAGACUCCUACGGGAGGCAGCAGUAGGGAAUCUUCCGCAAUGGGCGAAAGCCUGACGGAGCAACGCCGCGUGAGUGAUGAAGGUCUUCGGAUCGUAAAACUCUGUUAUUAGGGAAGAACAAACGUGUAAGUAACUGUGCACG
Molecule: ribosomal RNA, 483 nt
Filed under: Enterococcus faecium
Lineage: Bacteria; Bacillati; Bacillota; Bacilli; Lactobacillales; Enterococcaceae
Description: bacterial SSU rRNA
Rfam family: Bacterial small subunit ribosomal RNA
Source: RNAcentral